CGGGGUAUAGCCCCGCCUUUGGCGGGGCGCUACGUUCGGGACGUAGAGGUCGGGCUGUUCGAGUCGCCUUACCCCGA
Molecule: transfer RNA, 77 nt
Filed under: Bacteroidales bacterium
Lineage: Bacteria; Pseudomonadati; Bacteroidota; Bacteroidia; Bacteroidales
Description: tRNA-Pro
Source: RNAcentral